AUGACUGAAAUGACUGAACAACAUCAACCACCUCAGUUGGGGGAAGAUACCAUGAUACUAUGGGGCUGCUUCUGGCGAGAUUGCAUAUCCUGUCUACCAUCUCAUCUCAUAGGAAUCAGACCAUUUGUACAUACCUGGGGUAGUAUGCUCACUUCUAGAUGCCACUGCUUGGGAAGGACAUUUAUAAGCACAAGAAAAGGACAAUUUGAAAGUUCAUCCCUUAACUCUGGCCAGGACCCUGUUGCCAGCAGCGGCUUUGACUGAAAUAGACAUCAGGAGUGCCAAGUUUCCAGGCACCAGCUGCCAUGGUCCAUUCUCUAAGCUGCUGCGGUUGUACUGGCAGCUGUAUCAGCCUAAGACAGGCAGACAUCAACAGGUAAAGUGUGUGACUGCAAUUUUUUUCUCUAUAGACCCUAGGGGGUAUAAUGGUUGGGGGCUGGACUUGGGGGCAGGAAGAUCUGAAGUAAAAUCUGGCCUCAAAUAGCUAUUAGCUAUGCUGGUCUCUUUGUUAUCACAUAGGGUCACAAUGAGGUGGACAUUACUAAAAUGAUUGGACAACAAAAGACCUACUCAAAUUUUGCCAUAGAACCAUGGACUUCCAUAGAAAAUAGUGUGAGAAAUGUUGAUCUUGUUAAUUCCUUCAUUUUACAGAAAAGCAAACCAGAGAAGUAAAGGCACUUGCUCAAGAAGCCAGAGAGCUCAGGAGAGUUGUGCAAAGACCCACAAAAAAAUCACAAAUCCUCUGAGUUGGUAGGGGCAUCAUAUGCCAUCUAUUUCAAUCCAUAACUGAAUUGUAACCUCUUUUAUGAUAUAAUCCCAAAAAGCAAUUACCCUACCUCUCCUUGAAAACUUCAGCAAGAGAGAACUCAUCAUCUCCUAAGGCAGCCCAUACACAUCUGGACAGUUCCAAUUGUCAGGAAGAUUUCCUUCACAUAAAGCCAAAACUUAAUUUCUCUAUAAUAUUAACCCU
RNAcentral lists this long non-coding RNA (970 nucleotides) under Monodelphis domestica (gray short-tailed opossum). Its description in RNAcentral is "lncRNA (ENSMODG00000042502.1)". Lineage: Eukaryota; Metazoa; Chordata; Mammalia; Didelphimorphia; Didelphidae. The record is from RNAcentral.